Non-coding RNA from Vicia faba (fava bean), 270 nucleotides. Lineage: Eukaryota; Viridiplantae; Streptophyta; Magnoliopsida; Fabales; Fabaceae. The record is from the annotation of a GenBank genome assembly.
AUGGCCAAUCGCUGGGUCAGGCCUGAGGUAUACCCGCUGUUCUUUGCGGUUGGAGCUGCUGUUGGGAUCUGUGGGUUUUCUAUGGUUCGUCACAUGUGCAUCAACCCUGAAGUCAGGGUGAACAAGCAGAGCCGAGCUGCAGGAGUGUUGGAGAACUUUUCAGAGGGAGAGAAGUAUACAGAACAUUUGUUGAGGAAGUUUUCACGCAACAGGUCACCUGAGAUUAUGCCUGGCAUCAACGGCUUCUUUACUGACCCAAGUCGCAAUUAA